GCGAAAGCGUUAAGUAUUCCACCUGGGGAGUACGCCGGCAACGGUGAAACUCAAAGGAAUUGACGGGGGCCCGCACAAGCGGAGGAACAUGUGGUUUAAUUCGAUGAUACGCGAGGAACCUUACCCGGGCUUAAAUUGCAGAUGAAUUACGGUGAAAGCCGUAAGCCGCAAGGCAUCUGCGAAGGUGCUGCAUGGUUGUCGUCAGCUCGUGCCGUGAGGUGUCGGCUUAAGUGCCAUAACGAGCGCAACCCUUGUUGUCAGUUACUAACAGGUUCCGCUGAGGACUCUGACAAGACUGCCAUCGUAAGAUGUGAGGAAGGUGGGGAUGACGUCAAAUCAGCACGGCCCUUACGUCCGGGGCUACACACGUGUUACAAUGGGGGGUACAGAGGGCCGCUACCACGCGAGUGGAUGCCAAUCCCCAAAACCUCUCUCAGUUCGGACUGGAGUCUGCAACCCGACUCCACGAAGCUGGAUUCGCUAGUAAUCGCGCAUCAGCCACGGCGCGGUGAAUACGUUCCCGGGCCUUGUACACACCGCCCGUC
RNAcentral lists this ribosomal RNA (545 nucleotides) under uncultured bacterium. RNAcentral describes it as "bacterial SSU rRNA". It matches the Rfam family "Bacterial small subunit ribosomal RNA", at positions 851 to 1398 of the family's 1533-position model. The record is from RNAcentral.